UUAAUUCCAUAAUCCCAUAUUUAAUUAUGCAACCUUUUGUUGAGUGUCUUUUGGUUUCUUCAAAAUUUAUUAUACUAUCAAUUAAACUUUAGUGCCUUAAAAUACAUCACCUAAUUAACAUAGGAAGAGAGGUUCUUUCAUCUUCCCUCAACCUCAUCUUUUUAUAUUCUCUAUUAUCUAAAAUAUUGGUGGAUAUUCUUUGUACAUAUAUCAUAAUAUGACACUC
Molecule: long non-coding RNA, 226 nt
Filed under: Citrus sinensis (sweet orange)
Lineage: Eukaryota; Viridiplantae; Streptophyta; Magnoliopsida; Sapindales; Rutaceae
Description: long non-coding RNA (CSIN_LNC005449)
Source: RNAcentral